This is a long non-coding RNA of Cyprinus carpio carpio, 2912 nucleotides long. NCBI's taxonomy places the organism in Eukaryota, Metazoa, Chordata, Actinopteri, Cypriniformes, Cyprinidae. The record is from Ensembl.
CGAUGGAGGAGCUCCUGGAACAGCUCAUUCAUGAAUCCUUGGAAUACGGAGGGUGAUUUGGCCAGCCCAUACGGCAUAACAAGAUAUUAAUAGUGGCCUGCGGGAGUAAUGAAUGCUGUCUUCAACUCAUCCCCCCUCCGUAUCCAGAUGAGGUUGUAGACACUACGCAGGUCCAGUUUGGAGAAGAAGUGAGCGCCCUGCAGCUGUUCCAGUGCAGAUGGGACCAGGGAAAGUGGAUAACGGUACUUUUCACAGCUUGGGAAAGGGCUCUGUAAUCGAUACACCUCGGCUUGUCCAAAUACCUCCUUGAUAUGGUUUAUGAAAGCAUCCAGAAAUUGUGUGACCAUGGCAUCGGAUUCCCACAGCAUUGUCGCCCACUGCAGAGCCCUACCGGACAAGAGAGAUAUAAUAUAGGCAAUUUUAGAUCAUUCAGAUGGGAACUGGUGAGGCUGCAUCUAAAAAUACAGCGAGCAUUACAAGAUUAACCCACUGCAAUCCUCCGCCAUGCCAGAGAACGUUGCUGGUUGGGCCAUAGGAUGCAACGAUGAAGCCGAUGAGGAAGUAGCGGGUUGCAGCAAUUGAUGAAGAAGAAGAGAAGACUCACAGAACCAUUCAAGAUGUUCAUUGACAACUGGAAACUGCUGAGUAACUUAAAUUGGAAACAGUUAGUGUGCUUAUCUCUUGCAUGUUGGUGCUGGAAGCGGUCAAUAGAGAAAGAAGACAGAUGUGAUGAUAUUCCACAAAGGAUAACAGAAAAUGCAGAAUUAUCAACACUUGAGAGCAAUAUCUGUGUAGUUCCAGCUCCAGCUCCUCUCCCUACAUCCAGUCUUUCUCACUGCACUCUAAUUCAUCAGAAUUGUCUCUGGAACUCAGCCAAGUCCUUCGGGUAAUCCUCUCUGCAAGCUUUACUACACAUCAUUUUUUAUCUGUAUUUUAGUUUUUCAGUAGAAGUGCAGGGAAAGAUCGAAAAAUAAUGUGUGGAAAAUUGCUAUACACGGGGGAAGGAGUGCUGAGAUUGCAGUUGACGUUAAUGUUUCCAAUAGGCUCUGGGACGUAUGACCAUUAUUAAGGGUAAUAAAUGAUGUAGUUUUUGGUGGAUUGCAGCUUUAUUUCAGCGAAAUUGGCUUGAAGCUUGAAAAACAGAACUGCCAAAAAAUGUGUGUUUGGCAUAAUGGACUUAUCCCUGAUGGGGCUUUAAUGUUUCUGUAUUUUAUUUAUUGAGAAAUUCAAAGGCAAAUCUUCAUUAUACUCUCAGCACUUAUCAAGUAUGCUACAUUGCUGAUUGAUGAACACUUGCCUAAAUAUGCCCCCAUCAAAUUGAAAAAGGUUAGAGAAAAACGUACUGUGCCAUGGUACAACAGUAAUACCCACGCUCUCAAGAAAGAAACUCGUAGUCUUGAGCACAAAUGGAGAAAAACGAACUUGGAAGUUUUUAGAAUCGCGUGGAAAAACAGUAUGUCCAGCUAUAGACAGGCUCUAAAAACUGCCAGGGCCGAGCAUAUCCACAAACUCAUAGAAAACAACCAAAACAAUCCAAGGUCUUUAUUUAGCACAGUGGCUAGAUUAACAAAUAACCAGCCACCACCCGAUCUAAAUAUUCCCUCACAGUUUAAUAGUAAUGACUUUAUGAAUUUCUUCACUGAUAAAAUAGAGAACAUCAGAAAUACAAUAACAAAUGUAGAUUCUACAGCGUCUAAUACUUUAGUUUUAUCCAUCGCACCCAAAGAUAAACUGCAGUGCUUUACAGGAAGAGCUAAAUAAACUUAUCACUGCAUCUAAACCAACAACAUGUUUAUUAGAUCCUGUACCCACUAAAUUACUGAAAGAGUUGUUACCUGUAGCAGAAAAACCGCUUCUCAAUAUUAUUAACUUGUCGUUAUCUUUAGGUCACGUCCCAAAACCAUUCAAGCUGGCGGUUAUUAAGCCUCUUAUUAAGAAACCACAACUAGAUCCUAGUGAACUGGCAAAUUACAGACCCAUUUCAAAUCUUCCAUUUAUGUCUUAAAAUUUUUGAAAAAGUUGUGUCUGCUAAAUUGUGCUCCUACCUGCCAAAAAAUGUCUCUAUGAAGAAUUUCAGUCAGGUUUCAGGCCCCAUCAUAGCACAGAAACUGCACUUGUUAAAAUUACAAAUGACUUGCUUCUUGCAUCAGACCAAGGCUGCAUCUCAUUGCUAGUUUUACUUGAUCUUAGUGCUGCGUUCGACACCAUAGAUCACGACAUACUCAUAGAUAGAUUACAAAACUAUACAGGUAUCCAAGGGCAGGCUUUAAGAUGGUUUAGAUCAUACCUGUCCGAUCGCUACCACUUUGUUUAUCUAAAUGGGGAGUCAUCUCAUUUAUCACCAGUAAAAUAUGGAGUGCCACAAGGAUCUGUCCUAGGUCCUCUGCUAUUUUCAAUAUACAUGUUGCCCCUUGGUAAUAUCAUUAGAAAAUACGGGAUUAGUUUCCACUGUUAUGCUGAUGAUACUCAACUGAGUUUAUAUCUCAACAAGACCAGGUGAAAUGUCAAAAUUAUCUAAGCUAACAGAGUGUGUUAAAAAUGUAAAAGAUUGGAUGACCAAUAAUUUUCUCCUAUUAAAUUAAGACAGAGAUAUUACUUAUUGGACCAAAAAACAUUACACAGAAUCUCGUAGAUUACAAUUUGCAACUAGACGGAUGUACUGUUACUUCCUCUACUGUCAAAAAUCUGGGUGUUAUAUUAGACAGCAACUUGUCUUUUGAAAAUCAUAUUUCCCAUGUUACAAAAACAGCAUUCUUCCAUCUUAGAAACAUUGCCAAGCUACGAAACAUGUUACCUGUUUCUGAUGCAGAAAAGCUAGUUCAUGCGUUCAUGACCUCUAGACUGGACUAUUGUAAUGCACUGCUAGGUGGUUGUCCUGCAUCCUCAAUAAACAAGCUACAGGUAGUCCAAAA